RNAcentral lists this non-coding RNA (29 nucleotides) under Mus musculus (house mouse). The record is from RNAcentral. Lineage: Eukaryota; Metazoa; Chordata; Mammalia; Rodentia; Muridae.
UGGGAACAUUGAUAUUUCAAAGAGAAUCU